CGUGGCUAACCUGCCCUUAGGAUCGGAAUACCCCCCGGGAAACUGGGGCUAAUUCUCAAUAGGUGAAGAACUCUGGAAUGAGUCUUCACUGAAAAGGCGCUAGAGUUAUGCUCUUUGGCGCCGCCCAAGGAUGGGGCCGCGACCGAUCAGGUUGUUGGUGAGGUAAUGGCUCACCAAGCCUUUUACCGGUGCGGGCCGUGGGAGCGGGAGCCCGGAGAUGGGCACUGAGACAAGGGCCCAGGCCCUACGGGGCGCAGCAGUCGCGAAAACUUUGCAAUAAGCGAAAGCUUGACAGGGCUAUCCCGAGUGCCAUCCGCUGAGGAAGGCUUUUACCCAGUCUAGAACGCUGGGGGAAUAAGGAGAGGGCAAGUCUGGUGUCAGCCGCCGCGGUAAUACCAGCUCUCCGAGUGGUGUGGAUGUUUAUUGGGCCUAAAGCAUCCGUAGCUGGCUAGGUUAGUCCCCUGUUAAAUCCACCGAAUUAAUCGUUGGAUUGCGGGGGAUACUGCUUGGCUAGGGGACGAGAGAGGCAGACGGUAUUUCCGGGGUAGGGGUGAAAUCCUAUAAUCCCGGGAAGACCACCAGUGGCGAAGGCUGUCUGCUAGAACGCGCCCGACGGCGAGGGAUGAAAGCUGGGGGAGCGAACCGGAUUAGAUACCCGGGUAGUCCCAGCUGU
RNAcentral lists this ribosomal RNA (673 nucleotides) under uncultured archaeon. Its description in RNAcentral is "bacterial SSU rRNA". It matches the Rfam family "Archaeal small subunit ribosomal RNA", at positions 99 to 754 of the family's 1478-position model. The record is from RNAcentral.